Molecule: non-coding RNA, 31 nt
Filed under: Homo sapiens (human)
Lineage: Eukaryota; Metazoa; Chordata; Mammalia; Primates; Hominidae
Source: RNAcentral
AGGGNGUUUCCAGGCCAGAAGCCAUCCCUGC